RNAcentral lists this long non-coding RNA (1916 nucleotides) under Mizuhopecten yessoensis (Yesso scallop). Its description in RNAcentral is "uncharacterized LOC110459355". Lineage: Eukaryota; Metazoa; Mollusca; Bivalvia; Pectinida; Pectinidae. The record is from RNAcentral.
CUGCAAUACGCAAAGACGGAAUUGGUUCCCGCCGCGACACUACUCACCAGGGGGCGCGCGUGUACUAGGGGGUUACUCAAUCGCAACUUCUCGGCCAAUUCCGGCUAGGCGCGGAAUCAUUGGCCGAGAAGUUGCGAUUGGGGGGUUACUACCGAUGCCAAGAUGGCGGACGAGUGUUUUCAGAACUGGUCGGUACAGAAGCUGAAUUGGGGAAACGGAGUGCUACUACCCAUGGCAGAAAAAGUGAUUUAGUUGAGAGAUUAAAGGCCUAUGAAAGAAAUAGGAACUUCAGACAAUCUGCUGUUUACCUGCCCGAUGCCAUUUGUGUGUUCGGCCAAUUGUUGGAUUUCAGCAAUUGAUACCAGAUCACAAGAUUAUCCUUCCCAAAUUGACUUGGCUGCAGAUAGAGGAGUACUUCUUGUACAGAUUGACAGAUUACUGAAGAAGGUGCUCGGGAGUUGGGAGACCCAAACCAAAUUCCAAGUGAAAAGUAAAAAUAAAAUGGGUGGAGGAGAGACAGUCGAGGAUUACUGCAUCUAGGUUUGGGGAAGUAACACAUGCCACCUGUCAUUGAAACAUGGGGGAACUUUGUGAGAGUCUUGUUUCAUCUUGGACUCUUAACACAAAAGCCAUUCAGCAUGGACAAAAUUAUGAAAAGAAAGCUUAACCAAAUUUGAACAAACAAUGAUGUUACAUGUGAAGAGGGCUGGACUGUUUGCACACCCGAAGUAUCCAUAUCGGGGGGCUUCACCUGAUGGAAUCAACGAUGAAAAGGCUACACUUGAAAUAAGAUGUCCAUUUGUAGGUUGCACAUCAUUUAUCACAACCAGCAAGAUGUUUCCGUUUCUUAUAUAUGAUGUACUUUGUUGUACAUGUAUAUACAUGUACUUUUGUAGACAUGCUUGUCCAAAAGAUAGAAUUUGACACUGAGUACUGUGAAUUCAGUCCGUUACCCACAUUAAACCUAUAUUUUGUGAAACAUUUCAUGACUUACAUUGCUUCUCAUAUGUAAAAAGGUCAUGGUCAAUAUCCUUGUUACUUUCUAUAGAUUUUUAUUGUCAAUAUUAUCAUAUUUGCUGUAAUUUGUACAAAGGGCACUCAAAAAUUGUUGAAAUGGGGUUCUUAUUCGGGUAAUAAGACGAGCUUAAGCAGAAAAACGUAAUUUCUACUAUAUAUAUAAUCAUGAUCAUUAGAAAAACUGUGACAAGACAGCAUUCAAGUCCCUUGUUUUUUAAAACUUAUUUGUGAGCAUCAAAUCCACGAUCACCAGGCGUAAAUACCUCCUGAAAAAGGAGGAGGGGUACUUAUUGAGUGAGGAGCAUUAAUUAUGGCAAAGAUGGUAUAAGAAAUAUCUUAAUGGUUGACAACUUCAAGAUAUAUAUUCAUUUAAUAUAUACAUGUACGUGUAUCUAAAUUUAUCUUGCAAUAAGCCCAAAUCAAUGUAGUUUGCAGUCACCAAACAUGAAAGUACAUUUUUUAUGUAUUUUACAGUAAAGAUUGCUAAAAGUUUUCUCGACUUGGAGACACAAAUUAAAUUUCAAGCAACCAUUAUAGAAUGAAAGACGAGUGAAUAAGAGAAGGUGGGCUUAUUUAUGUAUAGUGUAGUACAUGUAGUUUAUACUAAUGAAACAAUAUGUCAAGUAUAUUGACAAGGCAUUUUUGUCCACUAAGGGGGCUCUGAAAUUAAGAAGUGAGAAUCAAAUACACUGUAUAAAUAAUUCUUGUUGCAGGAAAAUCCAGUCCAGUACUGGACUGCUUUAGCAAUGUUACAACAGUUAUGAAAGCUUCACAUUCCACAUUCACCAAUGUUAUAUUGGAUCCCUGUACUGACUGCUGUGAUUGAACUAUCCCCAACAAUUUCUUCAGUUUGCAGUUUCAUCAAUAUUGCCUGGUGGCAGCUCCACUUCCUGCUCCAC